GGAUCCUGAGUACGACGGAGCACGUGAAAUUCCGUCGGAAUCUGGGAGGACCAUCUCCUAAGGCUAAAUACUCUCUAGUGACCGAUAGUGAACCAGUACCGUGAGGGAAAGGUGAAAAGCACCCCGGAAGGGGAGUGAAAUAGAACCUGAAACCGUGUGCUUACAAGUAGUCAGAGCCCGUUAAUGGGUGAUGGCGUGCCUUUUGUAGAAUGAACCGGCGAGUUACGAUUUGAUGCAAGGUUAAGCAGUAAAUGUGGAGCCGUAGCGAAAGCGAGUCUGAAUAGGGCGUUUAGUAUUUGGUCGUAGACCCGAAACCAGGUGAUCUACCCUUGGUCAGGUUGAAGUUCAGGUAACACUGAAUGGAGGACCGAACCGACUUACGUUGAAAAGUGAGCGGAUGAACUGAGGGUAGCGGAGAAAUUCCAAUCGAACCUGGAGAUAGCUGGUUCUCUCCGAAAUAGCUUUAGGGCUAGCCUCAAGUGAUGAUUAUUGGAGGUAGAGCACUGUUUGGACGAGGGGCCCCUCUCGGGUUACCGAAUUCAGACAAACUCCGAAUGCCAAUUAAUUUAACUUGGGAGUCAGAACAUGGGUGAUAAGGUCCGUGUUCGAAAGGGAAACAGCCCAGACCACCAGCUAAGGUCCCAAAAUAUAUGUUAAGUGGAAAAGGAUGUGGCGUUGCCCAGACAACUAGGAUGUUGGCUUAGAAGCAGCCAUCAUUUAAAGAGUGCGUAAUAGCUCACUAGUCGAGUGACACUGCGCCGAAAAUGUACCGGGGCUAAACAUAUUACCGAAGCUGUGGAUUGUCCUUUGGACAAUGGUAGGAGAGCGUUCUAAGGGCGUUGAAGCAUGAUCGUAAGGACAUGUGGAGCGCUUAGAAGUGAGAAUGCCGGUGUGAGUAGCGAAAGACGGGUGAGAAUCCCGUCCACCGAUUGACUAAGGUUUCCAGAGGAAGGCUCGUCCGCUCUGGGUUAGUCGGGUCCUAAGCUGAGGCCGACAGGCGUAGGCGAUGGAUAACAGGUUGAUAUUCCUGUACCACCUAUAAUCGUUUUA
RNAcentral lists this ribosomal RNA (1050 nucleotides) under Staphylococcus aureus. RNAcentral's name for it is "partial 23S ribosomal RNA". It matches the Rfam family "Bacterial large subunit ribosomal RNA", at positions 403 to 1461 of the family's 2925-position model. Lineage: Bacteria; Bacillati; Bacillota; Bacilli; Caryophanales; Staphylococcaceae. The record is from RNAcentral.